Molecule: ribosomal RNA, 700 nt
Filed under: uncultured bacterium
Lineage: Bacteria
Description: bacterial SSU rRNA
Rfam family: Bacterial small subunit ribosomal RNA
Source: RNAcentral
AGCGGCGGACGGGUGAGUAACACGUGGGUAACCUGCCUCAUAGAGAGGGAUAGCCUUCCGAAAGGAAGAUUAAUACCUCAUAAGAUUGUAGUUUCGCAUGAAACGGCAAUAAAAGGAGCAAUCCGCUAUGAGAUGGACCCGCGUCGCAUUAGCUAGUUGGUAAGGUAAUGGCUUACCAAGGCGACGAUGCGUAGCCGACCUGAGAGGGUGAUCGGCCACAUUGGGACUGAGACACGGCCCAGACUCCUACGGGAGGCAGCAGUGGGGAAUAUUGCACAAUGGGGGAAACCCUGAUGCAGCAACGCCGCGUGAGUGAUGACGGUCUUCGGAUUGUAAAACUCUGUCUUUGGGGACGAUAAUGACGGUACCCAAGGAGGAAGCCACGGCUAACUACGUGCCAGCAGCCGCGGUAAUACGUAGGUGGCAAGCGUUGUCCGGAUUUACUGGGCGUAAAGGGAGCGUAGGUGGAUAUCUAAGUGGGAUGUGAAAUACUCGGGCUUAACCUGAGUGCUGCAUUCCAAACUGGAUAUCUAGAGUGCAGGAGAGGAAAGUGGAAUUCCUAGUGUAGCGGUGAAAUGCGUAGAUAUUAGGAAGAACACCGGUGGCGAAGGCGACUUUCUGGACUGUAACUGACACUGAGGCUCGAAAGCGUGGGGAGCGAACAGGAUUAGAUACCCUGGUAGUCCACGCCGUAAACGAU